Molecule: ribosomal RNA, 496 nt
Filed under: uncultured bacterium
Lineage: Bacteria
Description: partial 16S ribosomal RNA
Rfam family: Bacterial small subunit ribosomal RNA
Source: RNAcentral
GAUGAACGCUGGCGGCGUGCCUAAUACAUGCAAGUCGAGCGAACAGACGAGGAGCUUGCUCCUCUUACGUUAGCGGCGGACGGGUGAGUAACACGUGGAUAACCUACCUAUAAGACUGGGAUAACUUCGGGAAACCGGAGCUAAUACCGGAUAAUAUAUUGAACCGCAUGGUUCAAUAGUGAAAGACGCUUUUGCUGUCACUUAUAGAUGGACCCGCGCUGCUUUACCUAGUUGGUAAGGUAACGGCUUACCAAGGCAACGAUGCGUAGCCGACGUGAGAGGGUGAUCGGCCACACUGGAACUGAGACACGGUCCAGACUCCUACGGGAGGCAGCAGUAGGGAAUCUGCCGAAAUGGGAGAAAGCCUGACGGAGCAACGCCGCGUGAGUGAUGAAGGUCUGCGGAUCGUAAAACUCUGUUAUUAGGGAAGAACAAAUGUGUAAGUAACGAUGCACGUCUGGACGGUACCUAAUCAGAAAGCCACGGCUAACUACGU